RNAcentral lists this ribosomal RNA (301 nucleotides) under uncultured bacterium. RNAcentral's name for it is "partial 16S ribosomal RNA". It matches the Rfam family "Bacterial small subunit ribosomal RNA", at positions 509 to 807 of the family's 1533-position model. The record is from RNAcentral.
CAGCAGCCACGGGAAUACGGAGGGGGCAAGCGUUAAUCGGAAUUACUGGGCGUAAAGCGCACGCAGGCGGUCUGACAAGUCAGAUGUGAAAUCCCCGGGCUUAACCUGGGAACUGCAUUUGAAACUGUCAGGCUGGAGUCUUGUAGAGGGGGGUGGAAUUCCAGGUGUAGCGGUGAAAUGCGUAGAGAUCUGGAGGAAUACCGGUGGCGAAGGCGGCCCCCUGGACAAAGACUGACGCUCAGGUGCGAAAGCGUGGGGAGCAAACAGGAUUAGAUACCCGAGUAGUCCCUGUCUCUUAUAC